GACGAACGCUGGCGGCGUGCUUAACACAUGCAAGUCGAACGGUGAAGCUCCAGCUUGCUGGAGUGGAUCAGUGGCGAACGGGUGAGUAACACGUGAGCAACCUGCCCCUGACUCUGGAAUAAGCGCUGGAAACGGCGUCUAAUACUGGAUACGAGAAGGGUCCGCAUGGGCACUUUCUGGAAAGUUUUUCGGUUGGGGAUGGGCUCGCGGCCUAUCAGCUUGUUGGUGAGGUAAUGGCUCACCAAGGCGACGACGGGUAGCCGGCCUGAGAGGGCGACCGGCCACACUGGGACUGAGACACGGCCCAGACUCCUACGGGAGGCAGCAGUGGGGAAUAUUGCACAAUGGGCGAAAGCCUGAUGCAGCGACGCCGCGUGAGGGAUGACGGCCUUCGGGUUGUAAAGCUCUUUCAGCUGGGAAGAUAAUGACGGUACCAGCAGAAGAAGCCCCGGCUAACUCCGUG
This 463-nucleotide ribosomal RNA is filed under the name uncultured bacterium. RNAcentral describes it as "partial 16S ribosomal RNA". It matches the Rfam family "Bacterial small subunit ribosomal RNA", at positions 28 to 507 of the family's 1533-position model. The record is from RNAcentral.